RNAcentral lists this transfer RNA (77 nucleotides) under Patescibacteria group bacterium. RNAcentral's name for it is "tRNA-Asp". It matches the Rfam family "tRNA". Rfam says of the family: Transfer RNA (tRNA) molecules are approximately 80 nucleotides in length. Their secondary structure includes four short double-helical elements and three loops (D, anti-codon, and T loops). Further hydrogen bonds mediate the characteristic L-shaped molecular structure. tRNAs have two regions of fundamental functional importance: the anti-codon, which is responsible for specific mRNA codon recognition, and the 3' end, to which the tRNAs corresponding amino acid is attached (by aminoacyl-tRNA synthetases). tRNAs cope with the degeneracy of the genetic code in two manners: having more than one tRNA (with a specific anti-codon) for a particular amino acid; and 'wobble' base-pairing, i.e. permitting non-standard base-pairing at the 3rd anti-codon position. The record is from RNAcentral.
GGGGACGUAGCUCAGCUGGUUAGAGCGUCUGCCUGUCACGCAGAAGGUCGCGGGUUCGAGCCCCGUCGUUCCCGCCA